Molecule: ribosomal RNA, 416 nt
Filed under: uncultured bacterium
Lineage: Bacteria
Description: bacterial SSU rRNA
Rfam family: Bacterial small subunit ribosomal RNA
Source: RNAcentral
UAUUGGUCAAUGGAUGCAAGUCUGAACCAGCCAUGCCGCGUGCAGGAAGAAGGCCUUCUGGGUUGUAAACUGCUUUUGCCAGGGGACAAAAUAGGCGUGCGCGCUUAAUUGAAGGUACUUGGUGAAUAAGCCACGGCUAACUACGUGCCAGCAGCCGCGGUAAUACGUAGGUGGCAAGCGUUGUCCGGAUUUAUUGGGUUUAAAGGGUGCGUAGGCGGUCUAUUAAGUCAGUGGUGAAAUACUCCAGCUUAACUGGAGGGGUGCCAUUGAUACUGAUGGACUUGAGUCAAGUCGAGGUAGGCGGAAUUGACGGUGUAGCGGUGAAAUGCUUAGAUAUCGUCAAGAACACCAAUAGUGAAGACAGCUUACUAGGCUUAAACUGACGCUGAGGCACGAAAGUGUGGGGAUCAAACAGG